UGAGGAAUAUUGGUCAAUGGGCGAGAGCCUGAACCAGCCAAGUAGCGUGCAGGACGACGGCCCUAUGGGUUGUAAACUGCUUUUAUGUGGGGAUAAAGUGCGUGACGUGUCAUGCAUUGCAGGUACCACAUGAAUAAGGACCGGCUAAUUCCGUGCCAGCAGCCGCGGUAAUACGGAAGGUCCGGGCGUUAUCCGGAUUUAUUGGGUUUAAAGGGAGCGUAGCCUGUCUAUUAAGCGUGUUGUGAAAUAUACCGGCUCAACCGGUGGCUUGCAGCGCGAACUGGUCGACUUGAGUAUGCAGGAAGUAGGCGGAAUUCAUGGUGUAGCGGUGAAAUGCUUAGAUAUCAUGACGAACUCCGAUUGCGAAGGCAGCUUACGGGAGCGCAAAUGACGCUAAAGCUCGAAGGUGCGGGUAUCGAACAGG
This 424-nucleotide ribosomal RNA is filed under the name Verrucomicrobiota bacterium. RNAcentral describes it as "Verrucomicrobia bacterium partial 16S ribosomal RNA". It matches the Rfam family "Bacterial small subunit ribosomal RNA", at positions 355 to 776 of the family's 1533-position model. The record is from RNAcentral. Lineage: Bacteria; Pseudomonadati; Verrucomicrobiota.